GUAGCGAAAUUCCUUGUCGGGUAAGUUCCGACCCGCACGAAAGGCGCAACGAUCUGGGCACUGUCUCAACGAGAGACUCGGUGAAAUUAUAGUACCUGUGAAGAUGCAGGUUACCCGCGACAGGACGGAAAGACCCCGUGGAGCUUUACUGCAACCUGAUAUGGAAUGUUUGUACCGCUUGUACAGGAUAGGUAGGAGCCGAAGAGACGUGUGCGCUAGCAUACGAGGAGGCAAUGGUGGGAUACUACCCUGGCUGUAUGACCAUUCUAACCCGCCACGCUUAGCGCGUGGGGAGACAGUGUCAGGUGGGCAGUUUGACUGGGGCGGUCGCCUCCUAAAGAGUAACGGAGGCGCCCAAAGGUUCCCUCAGAAUGGAUGGAAAUCAUUCGCAGAGUGUAAAGGCACAAGGGAGCUUGACUGCGAGACUGACAAGUCGAGCAGGGACGAAAGUCGGGCUUAGUGAUCCGGUGGUUCCGCAUGGAAGGGCCAUCGCUCAACGGAUAAAAGCUACCCCGGGGAUAACAGGCUUAUCUCCCCCAAGAGUCCACAUCGACGGGGAGGUUUGGCACCUCGAUGUCGGCUCGUCGCAUCCUGGGGCUGUAGUCGGUCCCAAGGGUUGGGCUGUUCGCCCAUUAAAGCGGCACGCGAGCUGGGUUCAGAACGUCGUGAGACAGUUCGGUCCCUAUCCGUCGCGGGCGCAGGAAAUUUGAGAGGAGCUGUCCUUAGUACGAGAGGACCGGGAUGGACACACCGCUGGUGUACCAGUUGUUCCGCCAGGAGCAUCGCUGGGUAGCUAUGUGUGGCAGGGAUAAACGCUGAAAGCAUCUAAGCGUGAAGCCCCCCUCAAGAUGAGAUUUCCCAUUUCUUCGGAAAGUAAGAUCCCUGAAAGAUGAUCAGGUAGAUAGGUUUGGAGUGGAAGUGUAGCGAUACAUGGAGCGGACAAAUACUAAUCGAUCGAGGACUUAACCAAAAA
RNAcentral lists this ribosomal RNA (973 nucleotides) under Listeria monocytogenes. Its description in RNAcentral is "partial 23S ribosomal RNA". It matches the Rfam family "Bacterial large subunit ribosomal RNA", at positions 1956 to 2925 of the family's 2925-position model. Lineage: Bacteria; Bacillati; Bacillota; Bacilli; Caryophanales; Listeriaceae. The record is from RNAcentral.